GUGCCAGUGUGUAGUGGCUUGAGUGUUGGACCAUGACUCUAGAAAACAGGGUUCAAAUCCCCGCUGCCACA
This is a non-coding RNA of Phrynosoma platyrhinos (Desert horned lizard), 71 nucleotides long. NCBI's taxonomy places the organism in Eukaryota, Metazoa, Chordata, Lepidosauria, Squamata, Phrynosomatidae. The record is from the annotation of a GenBank genome assembly.